GNGGGAAUAUUGCACAAUGGGGGGAAAACCCUGAUGCAGCGACGCCGCGUGAGCGAAGAAGUAUUUCGGUAUGUAAAGCUCUAUCAGCAGGGAAGAUAAUGACGGUACCUGACUAAGAAGCCCCGGCUAACUACGUGCC
This 139-nucleotide ribosomal RNA is filed under the name uncultured bacterium. RNAcentral describes it as "partial 16S ribosomal RNA". It matches the Rfam family "Bacterial small subunit ribosomal RNA", at positions 355 to 509 of the family's 1533-position model. The record is from RNAcentral.